UGAGGAAUAUUGCGCAAUGGGCGAAAGCCUGACGCAGCGACGCCGCGUGAAGGAUGAAGGUCUUCGGAUUGUAAACUUCUGUUAAGCGGGACGAAAGACCCAUUUCUAAUACAAAUGGGGAUGACGGUACCGCUAGAGAAAGCACCGGCUAAACUCGUGCCAGCAGCCGCGGUAAUACGAGUGGUGCGAGCGUUAUUCGGAAUUAUUGGGCGUAAAGGGCGCGUAGGUGGUAUAUUAAGUCAACUGUUAAAUUCUUCGGCCUAACCGGAGAUCUGCGGUAGAUACUGGUGUACUUGAGGAUGGAAGAGAGAAGUGGAAUUCUUGGAGUAGCGGUAAAAUGCGUAGAUAUCAAGAGGAACACCAAUGGCGAAAGGCAGCUUCUUGGUCCAGUCCUGACACUGA
RNAcentral lists this ribosomal RNA (402 nucleotides) under uncultured bacterium. Its description in RNAcentral is "bacterial SSU rRNA". It matches the Rfam family "Bacterial small subunit ribosomal RNA", at positions 355 to 749 of the family's 1533-position model. The record is from RNAcentral.